Molecule: long non-coding RNA, 1122 nt
Filed under: Homo sapiens (human)
Lineage: Eukaryota; Metazoa; Chordata; Mammalia; Primates; Hominidae
Description: HSALNT0378751
Source: RNAcentral
CCCAGGAACCUCGUGCUUCUAGGUAAUGAAUCUCCCACCACAGCUCCACUGGAUGGAACCGCCCCAGCUUCCUCCAGCCCAAACUGCUGCACCCACCACCCAGAGAAAUGGAAGUCAAGGACUCAGCAGUCCAAGGCAGCCCUUCUGAAGCAACUUCAGGGGCUCAGCAAAUAUUUGUUGAGAACCUCCUCUGUGCCUGGCUGGAUCAGGGUGGGGCUGUAGAGCUGCACAUCAUAGUCUGCAUCCGGGUCAGCCCUGAAUCUCAGGCACUGGAAGGUUACCCUGAUGGGCAGGACCCACUCCCAUCACUAAGAGAACAUCAAAAGGGCAGGUGUGGGGGUGGAUAGGAAGAUCAGGAUCUCUGAAAGGAAAUUUGCAUUGUGGUAACCUACAGACUCCACCUGGACCCAUGAUUCAUGACUCAACCAGUCCACCCAGAAGCUGACUCAGAGCAUAAGGAGCAUUUUCCACACCCCUAGGAUUUCAUCUCCAACCAAUCAGCAUUCCCCAUUCUCUAGCCCCUGUCCACCAAACUAUUCUUUAAAAACCUUAGCUCUAAGCUUUAUUUAUUUAUUUAAGUAAUACACUCCUGUCUUCCACUUAGCUGGUUCUGUAUUUAUUAAACUCUUUCUCUACUGCCAUACCGCUAUCUCAGUAAAUUAGCUCUAUCUGUGCAGUUGGCAAGAAGAACUGGUCAGGUGGUUAAAACACUACAGAUAGGCAUUGUUAAACAAAACAAUGGACUAAGCCCCUGCACUAGGCUCCAACAGAACAGACAAAAUCAAAAUGGAGUCACUCAUGCUAAAUGUCAUAUAAUCAAACUGAAACUCUAAGGAAGCUGAUAAAUCCUAAAACAGACCUUUUUUUUUCCUGAAAACAGGAAAUUUCAGUCUACCAGAGUCAACCUAGUAAGAAAGUUGCCUCUUCUUUGACCUUUAUGAGAAAGUAACCUGAAGUAACCUGACAUUAAUGAAUCAGCUUCUCUUCUACUAUUCUGUUUCCUUACUCCCACCUUACAAAGCUCACUGCUCUGCUUGCCCUAGUGAGAGAACUCAUUCUAUUGUGUAGAGUAGAGUCAGCCAUGAUUCAUGAAUUAUGAAUAAAAGACAAUUAGAUCUAUAA